This 494-nucleotide ribosomal RNA is filed under the name uncultured bacterium. Its description in RNAcentral is "partial 16S ribosomal RNA". It matches the Rfam family "Bacterial small subunit ribosomal RNA", at positions 28 to 507 of the family's 1533-position model. The record is from RNAcentral.
GACGAACGCUGGCGGCGCGCUUAACACAUGCAAGUCGAACGGAAAGGCCUGCUUUCCCUUGUGGAUUGCGGGUACUCGAGUGGCGAACGGGUGAGUAACACGUGAGUGAUCUGCCCCCAACUUGGGUAUAAGCCUGGGAAACUGGGUCUAAUUCCCGAUAGGACUGCAGGGUGGUGCCUGUGGUGGAAAACGAUUUCCUAGUGGUUGGGGAUGAGCUCGCGGCCUAUCAGCUUGUUGGUGGGGUAAUGGCCUACCAAGGCGGCGACGGGUAGCCGGCCUGAGAGGGUGGACGGCCACAUUGGGACUGAGAUACGGCCCAGACUCCUACGGGAGGCAGCAGUGGGGAAUAUUGCACAAUGGGCGGAAGCCUGAUGCAGCGACGCCGCGUGGGGGAUGACGGCCUUCGGGUUGGAAACUCCUUUCGACCGCGAGGAAGCCACCUGGUUGGAAGGGUGGUGACGGUAGUGGUAGAAGAAGCACCGGCUAACUACGUG